GCAAGAACAGUAAUAUAACAAUAGUCCGAAAAAAUAUCAUUCCAGUUCACAUAUCCAUUUUUCAUUCAAAGCAACAUCUCGUAAAAUUCAUAAAUCACAUAUAAAUUCAUUAACAAUUUAUUCGAUGCAAAAAUAAUAUUAUAUAAAUGAAGAGUCUAGAGAAGGCAGUUCAUUACUUACAUUGAACGCGAUCCACAACAAAUCCAAUUAAUCUCACAAAUUCCUCGCAGAACCUAAUAUCCAAAAAUCAUAUUUUCUUUUAAAAUUAAUCACAAUAUAUAUAAAAACUUAAAUUUAAUAUUUCCUCCAGGGCUGACCCUGCCAAGGUGUCUAGCACCCCGAGUUCGGGUUCGGGUUCAUACCCAUAGACCACCCUCCUUUUAUAUUAUUAUUAUUAUUAUUAUUAUUUUUCUCUCUCUCUUUCUUUUCUUUUCUUUUCUUUUUCUUUUCUUUUCUUUUCUUUUUCUUUUCUUUUCUCUUUCUUCUUUCUUCUUUUCUCUCCCGACUCUCUUCCUCUCUUUCGGCGAAACAGGGGAUCCGUCACCCCCUGCCACCCCAUCCUCUUCCCUCUCGAUCGAACCCAAGGGCGGCCACGGCGGCCGGCCUUGACAGCAGCAGGUGGUGGCGGAGCAAGCCCGACCACCUCCCGGCGGCUGGCGGCGACGAACCCGCGGUGGCGACAAGCUUACGGGCCGAAACCUCCUUUUGGACCCAAAUCCGGCGCUUGGCCGGCUCCAAACUAUCCUACAACAUGGCUAAGCAUCAAAAGAGGAGGAGAAGAAGGUGAGCGAUGCUUACCCCAACCUCGACGAAGACCGGUGGCUUUCUUUCUCUCCGGCGGCAAUGAGGAAAAAGAUCACCCGUGCUGCUCGGCUCUCCCUCUUCCUCUCUUUCUCUCCGGCAACGCGAAGAAGACCCUCCCUCUUUUCCUCUCUCUCGGCCGGCAGCGGCUCCUCUUCCCCUCUCUUCAAAGAGAGGAGAAGCCCUAAAAAAAGAAUGGGGGAGCCGGCUUCUUCGGGAUGGCUCCCCCCCUUCUCACACGCCCUCACGUGCGUCGCACGUGAGGCCAAAAAUUUGGGCUGGGCCGGUCAAUGGGCCGGGCCCAGUUUCGGAAUCUCACAGUGUGACACCGGUGCGGGGUUUGGUAUCAGUACGACGAACCUUGUAGAUUAUAAUUAUCAUCAGAGUGUUAGCUAAGGCUUAUUCUCGAUUAUUUACAUAAUUUGUAUGUUUCGCAUGUGCUAGAGAUAAUGCCUUUUUUUUUAUUAGUUCAUGGAUAUUCAACUCUNNNNNNNNNNNNNNNNNNNUCCUCCACCCCUUAAAAGAAAUUUCGUCCACGAAAUUUUCGUACAUGUAGUUCAAGAGUAGAUUAUACUUCUUCCAAACUAAGUCAUAACACUCUUCAAAUCAAAGUCGUCUUGUCUGGGGCAACUGCUGUUGCAUCUGCAUAAGGCCCACUAUGGUUUGCAUAACCUGGCCUAGGCCCGGUUCUUGUCGUCCUGUCUGAGUAUCACUAGCAGGAUUGACGACUCUCUCCUGCUGAGGGGUGUUACCAACUUGUUGGGAUGUGCUGUCAUUUUGCGGGUUGGGUGCCUUAUUAGUAGCUCUGCGAGUAGUUUUUUUCUCGUCCGACGUGGAGGCAUCCUGACCUAUGUCUAUCAGAUAGCAGCAUGCCAAUAAUAAGCUUACCAGUUCAUUACAAGUACAUGGAAUGGUUGUUACAAUCAUCAUAAACUAACGUCCCAAUGUCCCUAGUGUCUACCCACCUACACUCAUGUCAUGUCAGAUUUUUUUAUUUCAUAAUUUAUCCAAUUAUGCUCUGAUACCAUAAAAGUUGUCACGCCCCCGUCUCGAGAUCGCGAGCCGGGGGUCCGCGCCAAUCUUUUUUCAGCUGAAAUAAAUGCAAUCUUAUUCCAUUGACUAACUCAAGUCAUAGGGUUUCACAAGUCUAAAUACGCAGCGGAACAAUAAAGAUAAAACAUCAAUUUAAACAAAGCCUAAUCUAGGAUAACUUGUGCUUCAGUUCUUCUAGUCGCUCUCCCAUUUUAAAUCCCCGAUAGGUUAGUUCUCAGAAUAUUGAACGCGAUCCACAACAAAUCCAAUUAAUCUCACAAAUUCCUCGCAGAACCUCAGCCCCGGCGAAGAUCCGGCGGCUUCUUUCCGGCGGCAAACGGAGGAGGAAAAGGAUCGUCCGCGCUGUGGCUUCUCGGCUCCCUCUCUCUCCCUCUCGGGCGGCAGCGGCUCCUCUUCCCCUCCCUUCAAAGAGAGGAGAAGCCCUAAAAAGACUGGGGGAGCCGGCUUCUUCGGGAUGGCUCCCCCCCCUCUCACACGCCCUCACGUGCGACGCACGUGAGGCCAAAAUUUGGGCUGGGCCGGUCAAUGGACCGGGCCCAGUUUCGGGAUCUCACAUCCUCCACCCCUUAAAAGAAAUUUCGUCCACGAAAUUUUCGUACAUGCAGUUCAAGAGUAGAGAAAUACUUCUUCCAAAUCAAGUCAUAACACUUUUCAAAUCAAAGUCGUCUUGUUUGAUCAAUAUCAAAUAAUUCUAUUCACCACACUUUCUCUGCACACACUGGUUUAAACCUCAACAUACCCGUGUCAAGUCUAGAUUUUUUUUUUCCUAGAAUUACUUGCUUAUUGGUACAUUCAUUAUUAUGUCUUAAUCCGUGUGAACAUUUUCGAAAUUUAAAAGUUCAUAUUCUUCUUUUGACAACUAAUCAAAAAUGUUAUGUAACUAUUUAAUCUUUUCUAGUAGUAUAAUGAGUUAUCUAACAAAGAGUAGUGGGUAUGGUUAGACAAUAAAUAGAAAUAAAUAUUGGGACUAGAUUAAUACCUGUCGUCAACACAUCAGAAGCCAGAAUGGUUGUUACAAUCAUCAUAAACUAACGUCCCAAUGUCCCUAGUGUCUACCCACCUACACUCAUGUCAUGUCAGAGUAUUUUUUUUUUAAUCUUAGAAUUUAUCCAUUCAUGCUCUGAUACCAUAAAAGUUGUCACGCCCCCGGCCCGAGAUCGCGAGCCGGGGGUCCGCGCCAACCGCCGCACACCCGUAGGAAACUCUCCCCACGAGCAUGCAAGGCAUCUAAACCAAAUAUCUCAAAUAUAUAACUAAAAUAAUUCAGCUGAAAUAAAUGCAAUCUUAUUCCAUUGACUGACACAAAUUAUAUAGUUUCACAGUUCUAAAUACGCAGCGGAACAAUAAAGAUAGAACAUUAACUUAAAUAAAAUCUAAUCUAAGAUAACUUGUGUCAUAAUUUUUGUAUUCGCUCUCCCAUAUUGUAAAACCCCCGGAUCGAGCUAAUUCUUCGGAUAUUGAAUGCGAUCCACAACAAAUCCAAUUAAUUUCACAAAUUCCUCGCAGAACCUCAGCCCCGGCGAAGAUCCGGCGGCUUCUUUCCGGCGGCAAACGGAGGAGGAAAAGGAUCGUCCGCGCUGUGGCUUCUCGGCUCCCUCUUCCUCUCUUUCUCUCCGGCAACGCGAAGAAGACCCUCCCUCUUUUCCUCUCUCUCGGCCGGCAGCGGCUCCUCUUCCCCUCUCUUCAAAGAGAGGAGAAGCCCUAAAAAAAGAAUGGGGGAGCCGGCUUCUUCGGGAUGGCUCCCCCCCUUCUCACACGCCCUCACGUGCGACGCACGUGAGGCCAAAAAUUUGGGCUGGGCCGGUCAAUGGGCCGGGCCCAGUUUCGGGAUCUCACAU
Molecule: long non-coding RNA, 3692 nt
Filed under: Phoenix dactylifera (date palm)
Lineage: Eukaryota; Viridiplantae; Streptophyta; Magnoliopsida; Arecales; Arecaceae
Description: long non-coding RNA (PDAC_LNC012325)
Source: RNAcentral